This 482-nucleotide ribosomal RNA is filed under the name Clostridioides difficile. Its description in RNAcentral is "bacterial SSU rRNA". It matches the Rfam family "Bacterial small subunit ribosomal RNA", at positions 1057 to 1533 of the family's 1533-position model. The record is from RNAcentral. Lineage: Bacteria; Bacillati; Bacillota; Clostridia; Peptostreptococcales; Peptostreptococcaceae.
AGCUCGUGUCGUGAGAUGUUGGGUUAAGUCCCGCAACGAGCGCAACCCUUGUCUUUAGUUGCCAUCAUUAAGUUGGGCACUCUAGAGAGACUGCCAGGGAUAACCUGGAGGAAGGUGGGGAUGACGUCAAAUCAUCAUGCCCCUUAUGCUUAGGGCUACACACGUGCUACAAUGGGUAGUACAGAGGGUUGCCAAGCCGUAAGGUGGAGCUAAUCCCUUAAAGCUACUCUCAGUUCGGAUUGUAGGCUGAAACUCGCCUACAUGAAGCUGGAGUUACUAGUAAUCGCAGAUCAGAAUGCUGCGGUGAAUGCGUUCCCGGGUCUUGUACACACCGCCCGUCACACCACGGGAGUUGGAGACGCCCGAAGCCGACUAUCUAACCUUUUGGAAGAAGUCGUCGAAGGGGGAAUCAAUAACUGGGGUGAAGUCGUAACAAGGUAGCCGUAUCGGAAGGUGCGGCUGGAUCACCUCCUUUCUAAGGA